GUGGGGAAUCUUGCGCAAUGGGCGAAAGCCUGACGCAGCCAUGCCGCGUGAAUGAUGAAGGUCUUAGGAUUGUAAAAUUCUUUCACCGGGGACGACAAUGACGGUACCCGGAGAAGAAGCCCCGGCUAACUUCGUGCCAGCAGCCGCGGUAAUACGAAGGGGGCUAGCGUUGCUCGGAAUUACUGGGCGUAAAGGGCGCGUAGGCGGACAGUUUAGUCAGAGGUGAAAGCCCAGGGCUCAACCUUGGAAUUGCCUUUGAUACUGGCUGUCUUGAGUACGGGAGAGGUGAGUGGAACUCCGAGUGUAGGGGUGAAAUUCGUAGAUAUUCGGAAGAACACCAGUGGCGAAGGCGACUCACUGGCCCGUUACUGACGCUGAGGCGCGAAAGCGUGGGGAGCAAACAGGAUUAGAUACCCGAGUAGUCC
This 425-nucleotide ribosomal RNA is filed under the name uncultured bacterium. Its description in RNAcentral is "partial 16S ribosomal RNA". It matches the Rfam family "Bacterial small subunit ribosomal RNA", at positions 354 to 796 of the family's 1533-position model. The record is from RNAcentral.